RNAcentral lists this long non-coding RNA (388 nucleotides) under Amborella trichopoda. RNAcentral describes it as "long non-coding RNA (ATRI_LNC001954)". Lineage: Eukaryota; Viridiplantae; Streptophyta; Magnoliopsida; Amborellales; Amborellaceae. The record is from RNAcentral.
UCGGGUUAACGCCCAACUCAUUGUUUAUAUUUCAGCAGUAGGUGGACAUCAUACUUAGCGAUAGGCUCCAUCGUGCAUGAAUGGGGAAGAGAGUGAAAGAAGAGAACGUGGAGAAAGAAGGAAUGGAGAUAUUACGAAAGAGAGGAAAGAUAAAAGAGAGAAAGAAAAUGAGUAAAGAAGAUCAGGAAAGAGAGAGGAAAGAUAAAGAGAGCGAAGAGAGGAGAGAGAAAGAAAUAGACGACAAGAGGAGAGAAGGAGAUAAACAAAAAGAGGAGAUAGAAAGAGAGAUGAACGAAGAGAGGAAAAGAAAAAAGAGAUAGAUGAGAAGAGGAGAGAGAAAGAGAGAUGAGAUGAUGAGAGAAAGAGAUAAACGAGAAGAGAAAGAGAG